This 440-nucleotide ribosomal RNA is filed under the name uncultured Sphingomonas sp. RNAcentral describes it as "bacterial SSU rRNA". It matches the Rfam family "Bacterial small subunit ribosomal RNA", at positions 338 to 795 of the family's 1533-position model. The record is from RNAcentral. Lineage: Bacteria; Pseudomonadati; Pseudomonadota; Alphaproteobacteria; Sphingomonadales; Sphingomonadaceae.
CCUACGGGAGGCAGCAGUGGGGAAUAUUGGACAAUGGGCGAAAGCCUGAUCCAGCAAUGCCGCGUGAGUGAUGAAGGCCUUAGGGUUGUAAAGCUCUUUUACCCGGGAUGAUAAUGACAGUACCGGGAGAAUAAGCUCCGGCUAACUCCGUGCCAGCAGCCGCGGUAAUACGGAGGGAGCUAGCGUUAUUCGGAAUUACUGGGCGUAAAGCGCACGUAGGCGGCUUUGUAAGUAAGAGGUGAAAGCCCAGAGCUCAACUCUGGAAUUGCCUUUUAGACUGCAUCGCUUGAAUCAUGGAGAGGUCAGUGGAAUUCCGAGUGUAGAGGUGAAAUUCGUAGAUAUUCGGAAGAACACCAGUGGCGAAGGCGGCUGACUGGACAUGUAUUGACGCUGAGGUGCGAAAGCGUGGGGAGCAAACAGGAUUAGAUACCCGUGUAGUC